RNAcentral lists this long non-coding RNA (1336 nucleotides) under Homo sapiens (human). RNAcentral's name for it is "non-protein coding TMEM161B-AS1:25". The record is from RNAcentral. Lineage: Eukaryota; Metazoa; Chordata; Mammalia; Primates; Hominidae.
CAAGAGAGAAGCAGAAGCCACCAUGGUUUUUUAUGCCGUUGUUGACCUAGCCCCCAAAGUGACAUAUUAUUACACAGAUAUGUAGCCAACCUGUGGGUCACUGAUACGGUUUGGAUGUGUGUCCCCUCCAAAUCUCAUGUUGAAAUGUGAUUCUCAGUGUUGGAAGUGGGGCUGGUGAUAGGUGUUUGGUUCAUGAGGGUAGAUCCCUUAUGAAUGGCUUGGUGCUGUCUUUGUGGCAAUAAGUGAGUUCUCACUAUCUGAGUUCACACAAGAGCUGGUUGUUUAAAAGAGCCUGUCAUCUCUUUUGCUCCCUUUCUCACCAUGUGAUAUGCUGCUCCCCUUCUCUUCUGCCAUGAAGAAAAGCUUCCUGAGGCCUUCACCAGAAGCAGAUGCUGGUGCCGUGCUUCUACAGCCUGCAGAACUGAAGGACUUUACAGCUUCUCUUUCGCAUAUCCAAAUUGCCAGCAUCACCGCUCUUGCACUCCAAGCCAUUAUUAAGUAAAGUAAAGAACACAAACACUGUGAUACUGCUACACUUGAUCUGAUAACCAAGAAGUCUACUAAGUGACUAACAGUUAAUAUUUUUGGACAUGAGGUGACUGCAGUUAACUAAAACCAUGGAAAGCAAACCCAUAGAUAAAGGGAUACUAUGAGCAACUGGGAACCUAAUUCUGACCAAAAAGGAGGAAUUGUUUGGCUAAUUGGAAGUGACAGAAACCUUGGGAGAAAGCAACCGCAUACCAAGGAUAAUUAUAAGAAGAAGAGAAGACAUGGAGAAGAGGAGGGAGUAGUUGUGACCGUGGAGGCAGAGAAUGGAGUAAUGUGAUCAUAAAUCAAGGAAUGCUGACAGCCACUAAAGCUGGAGAAGGCCAAGGACAGAUAUUCAAUCCUCCCGUAGAAGUACAGCCCUGCUAAUGCAUUGAUUUUGGACUUCUGGCCUCAGAACUGUAAGAGAAUAAAUUUCUAUUGUUUUAAGCCUUCAGUUUGUGGUAGUUUGUUACAGAAACCCUGUAAAGUUAAUACACAGAGUUCAAAGAGAAUCCGGUAAUAUCUCUAAAAGACUCGUGUAUUAGUCAGGAUUCUCCAGAGAAGCAAAGCCAAUAGAAUGAUACAUGUUGUUAAAGCAAAUUAAAAUGGAGACCAUGCCUGAAGAAUCUCUGUGCAGAGAAACCCAGUUAGGCCUCAUAAGUUAACCUUACUUGAUUUGCAAACAUAAUCUAAAAGUUAACUGGAGCUAUUUCCGGUAAAUGAAUAUAACACAACUUAAGCUCAAUCAGUCAGAAGCAGCUUUAUAAUUAUGUAGCUAGGGACUUUCCAAGAGGAUGACCAAAGAAGG